Molecule: long non-coding RNA, 579 nt
Organism: Myotis myotis
Lineage: Eukaryota; Metazoa; Chordata; Mammalia; Chiroptera; Vespertilionidae
Exons: 4
Source: RefSeq, a predicted model, not a curated record
UUUCUUUCCCGGCUGCGAGGGAUCUUCCUGAGCAGAGCUCUCCGGCUUCCCGUGCUCGCGGGGGCCGGCGAAGGGCAGUUCAUCUCUCCUGCCCCUCCUCAGUUCCAUUGCCAUCUCCAAGAAACCACUGGUCUGCUUUCUGCCACUAUAGGUGAAACUUGAAGGGAGAAGGAGCAAGCAAGCUUGUCCUACCUCCAGCCACUAUACCAGUGGGUGCUCUGGAUUCUAAAAGACCUACAGCAACUUCCUGGGGUGCAGUCAAUGUGUGGAGUGGAAUGUGGAUGGCAAUGUGGAUGGGCAAAGAGUGAGGAGGCGUGGCCCGUGACCGGGACUGUGGACUCUCUUUGGAUGUUGGAGAAGAGUGACAAGUCAGCUGUCACUUUGAAAGUUAGUAUAAACUGGAAAUCUGACAAAUGACCAUCAUUGGUAAAUAUCUAUUCCAUUUAAUGGCAUAAUUCAUUUCUCUUCUAGAUGAGCACCCAUAGAAGAAAGACUAUCAUAGAAAUUAGUACAUUAAUAGAAACAUUUUAUCUCAUAGAAAAGAAGGGAGCAAAAAUGUUAACUUGUGGAAUAAUUGGA